This is a non-coding RNA of Microdochium trichocladiopsis, 142 nucleotides long. NCBI's taxonomy places the organism in Eukaryota, Fungi, Ascomycota, Sordariomycetes, Xylariales, Microdochiaceae. The record is from the annotation of a RefSeq genome assembly.
GGGCUUGUGGUUUAGUGGUAUAAUACUCCCUUAGCAUUUGACAACUUCCUUCUCGCGGCCUCAUCAUCUUCCAUGAUGAAGGUUAAAGGAAAAGAGUGAAAAAAUCUGGGAGUGGUCCAGGGUUCGAUUCCCUGCAAGUCCA